UUCAGAGGGGGACAACAGCUGGAAACGGCUGCUAAUACCGCAUGACGCAUUCGGAUGGCAUCAUCUGAAUGCCAAAGAUUUAUCGCUGAAAGAUGGCCUCGCGUCUGAUUAGAUAGUUGGCGGGGUAACGGCCCACCAAGUCGACGAUCAGUAGCCGGACUGAGAGGUUGACCGGCCACAUUGGGACUGAGAUACGGCCCAG
This 202-nucleotide ribosomal RNA is filed under the name uncultured bacterium. RNAcentral's name for it is "partial 16S ribosomal RNA". It matches the Rfam family "Bacterial small subunit ribosomal RNA", at positions 132 to 334 of the family's 1533-position model. The record is from RNAcentral.